Molecule: ribosomal RNA, 305 nt
Filed under: uncultured bacterium
Lineage: Bacteria
Description: bacterial SSU rRNA
Rfam family: Bacterial small subunit ribosomal RNA
Source: RNAcentral
GCCUACGGGGCGCAGCAGUGGGGAAUAUUGCACAAUGGGGGAAACCCUGAUGCAGCGACGCCGCGUGAGUGAAGAAGUAUUUCGGUAUGUAAAGCUCUAUCAGCAGGGAAGAUAAUGACGGUACCUGACUAAGAAGCCCCGGCUAACUACGUGCCAGCAGCCGCGGUAAUACGUAGGGGGCAAGCGUUAUCCGGAUUUAUUGGGUUUAAAGGGUGCGUAGGCGGACAGUCAAGUCAGCGGUAAAAAUGCGGUGCUCAACGCCGUACAGCCGUUGAAACUGGCAGUCUUGAGUGGGCGAGAAGUAU